RNAcentral lists this ribosomal RNA (492 nucleotides) under uncultured bacterium. Its description in RNAcentral is "partial 16S ribosomal RNA". It matches the Rfam family "Bacterial small subunit ribosomal RNA", at positions 29 to 507 of the family's 1533-position model. The record is from RNAcentral.
AGUGAACGCUGGCGGUAGGCCUAACACAUGCAAGUCGAACGGCAGCACAGUAAGAGCUUGCUCUUACGGGUGGCGAGUGGCGGACGGGUGAGGAAUACAUCGGAAUCUACUUUUUCGUGGGGGAUAACGUAGGGAAACUUACGCUAAUACCGCAUACGACCUACGGGUGAAAGCAGGGGAUCUUCGGACCUUGCGCGAUUGAAUGAGCCGCUGUCGGAUUAGCUAGUUGGCGGGGUAAAGGCCCACCAAGGCGACGAUCCGUAGCUGGUCUGAGAGGAUGAUCAGCCACACGGGAACUGAGACACGGUCCAGACUCCUACGGGAGGCAGCAGUGGGGAAUAUUGGACAAUGGGCGCAAGCCUGAUCCAGCCAUACCGCGUGGGUGAAGAAGGCCUUCGGGUUGUAAAGCCGUUUUGUUGGGAAAGAAAAGCAGCAGGUUAAUACCCCGCUGUUCUGACGGUACCCAAAGAAUAAGCACCGGCUAACUUCGUG